UCGUUCUGUCUGUCUGUGUGUCUGUCUCCCUGGCUGGGUGUGGCUGACCCACUUCUGAUUCCCGCCAACUCACCUCCGCAGCUGCUGCUCAUCAUCCUGAUUACACUACUCACCUUCACCUGCUUAUAUGCCCGGUCCUCUCAUCCAGUAUUCACCAGUUCGUCGUUUCACCUCGCUGAAUCCAUCUGCCUACUCCUCUGCCUGCCACAUCCAGCCACGUACCUCUCGUCUGAGUAUCUCCGUGCUUCCACGCACACCGGCUCCAACCUGUCAACUAUCGCCAGCUCUGGAUCAGCGGCUUUCCUCGCCAGUGUACCUUCGUGCUUCCACGCACACCAGCUCCUUCCUGUCGACUCUCACCAGCUCUGGUCCCCCGGCUCUCCUCGCCAGAGUAUCUCCGUGCAUAUCCGCACCACCUCAGUUAACAAACCCUGGCUUUGGGUUUAUUGGAUAUUUAAUCCCUCGUCUGACUCUAUAUAAGGUUUUUGGUUAAUAAACCUUUUUCUACCUCAAAA
Molecule: long non-coding RNA, 515 nt
Organism: Trematomus bernacchii (emerald rockcod)
Lineage: Eukaryota; Metazoa; Chordata; Actinopteri; Perciformes; Nototheniidae
Exons: 2
Source: RefSeq, a predicted model, not a curated record